UAUUUUGGGGUAAAAUAUGUUCAUUUCCUUCACUGCUAAAAGCUCUGAAAAGCCCCAGCUGGGGUUGGCUGCCUGGGGAAGGAAACUCAUCAAUCCCACAGAAGUGGGAGAGGCGCUGAUUUUGCCCGGCCUCGGUGCUCUGGCUCUGAGUCAGCUACUUAAUGAGCUCCCUGGAGCUGACCCUGAGCACAGCAGGAAGGUGUGAACACUCCCUCCCAAAAGAGUGAAAAGGUGGAGAGAGUUUUGUCACCUGCUGCAGGCUCCCGCUGCUCCCAGGGGUAAUGGCCUGGGCGGCAUUCACACCCCCAUGUAGCUGUGGGCAGGAAACUCACAGCCAGGCUGCUGGGACGAGAAGAGCCAUGUGACGGCUUGAAGUGAAAGGGAGUCAGAGGGAUGUCUUUGGAGAGAUGAGAAGAGACUCACUAAAGCAGAAUUCGCAAGGAAUUAUUUUCUUCCUCCUUCCAGACUCAGCAGGAUGGAGGGAAAGUCUCACUGCAGACAGGGACACAGUCAGAUGACGUGGCAGCCAGGCAGCAGACAGCUUUUGCUGAUGAUGAGCUAUUACAUUGGUCAAGACUUUAUUGCAGGUGAUAAAACCCACUUCCAAUACACCCAAGUGAAAAAGAAGGUGAUUUGUGUUUCCCAUGACUGGGGUGUAUAGGGGCAAAGCUGUGCUCUGGAAUGAUUGAGACCUGACGGGAUAUGGGCUCCAUCUCCAGAUCAGCCUCUGCACACAGUCAGUGUGGACAGAAAGAGUCACACUGUAAAAUACUUGAGGAGAUUUAUUAUGAGCCAAAUAUGAGUGACCAUGGCCCAUGAUACAGCCUCAGGAGAUUCUGA
This 840-nucleotide long non-coding RNA is filed under the name Homo sapiens (human). Its description in RNAcentral is "HSALNT0123948". Lineage: Eukaryota; Metazoa; Chordata; Mammalia; Primates; Hominidae. The record is from RNAcentral.